RNAcentral lists this ribosomal RNA (433 nucleotides) under uncultured bacterium. RNAcentral describes it as "partial 16S ribosomal RNA". It matches the Rfam family "Bacterial small subunit ribosomal RNA", at positions 29 to 507 of the family's 1533-position model. The record is from RNAcentral.
AACGAACGCUGGCGGCAUGCCUAACACAUGCAAGUCGAACGAGACCUUCGGGUCUAGUGGCGCACGGGUGCGUAACGCGUGGGAAUCUGCCCUUGGGUUCGGAAUAACAGUUGGAAACGACUGCUAAUACCGGAUGAUGACGUAAGUCCAAAGAUUUAUCGCCCAGGGAUGAGCCCGCGUAGGAUUAGCUAGUUGGUGGGGUAAAGGCCUACCAAGGCGACGAUCCUUAGCUGGUCUGAGAGGAUGAUCAGCCACACUGGGACUGAGACACGGCCCAGACUCCUACGGGAGGCAGCAGUGGGGAAUAUUGGACAAUGGGCGAAAGCCUGAUCCAGCAAUGCCGCGUGAGUGAUGAAGGCCUUAGGGUUGUAAAGCUCUUUUAUCCGGGAUGAUAAUGACAGUACCGGGAGAAUAAGCCCCGGCUAACUCCGUG